This is a long non-coding RNA of Tripterygium wilfordii, 316 nucleotides long. RefSeq lists it as uncharacterized. The transcript is spliced from 2 exons. Lineage: Eukaryota; Viridiplantae; Streptophyta; Magnoliopsida; Celastrales; Celastraceae. The record is from RefSeq and is a predicted model, not a curated record.
CUAUUUAAUAUGCUAAUGCGGGUAUUAGUAUCCAGGACUUUUGGCUUGGCUGGGUAAAAAUCGAAAUUGUUGGAGCAUACUGCUGACAAGCAUUGUGUAUUACAUGUUCUGUCUCGUUUAUUUCAACCCGCUGGGUUGGUAAUACUUAGCUAUGUACGUUAAUAACGGAUCCCAAUUGUCUACAGAUCUGAUGGAGAACUUCUAGGGUCCAACAGUCAAUGUUUGUACAAACUAGUUACAGUUUUUCCUGAGAUAGACUUUCAAAAUGUUUUGAUUGCUGAUGAUCUUACUCUUGUGAAACGCUACAAUUUCUCCA